GCAUUGGUGGUUCAGUGGUAGAAUUCUCGCCUCCCACACGGGAGACCUGGGUCCGAUUCCCGGCCAAUGCA
Non-coding RNA from Danio rerio (zebrafish), 71 nucleotides. The record is from Rfam. NCBI's taxonomy places the organism in Eukaryota, Metazoa, Chordata, Actinopteri, Cypriniformes, Danionidae.